RNAcentral lists this ribosomal RNA (461 nucleotides) under uncultured bacterium. RNAcentral describes it as "bacterial SSU rRNA". It matches the Rfam family "Bacterial small subunit ribosomal RNA", at positions 30 to 479 of the family's 1533-position model. The record is from RNAcentral.
AUUGAACGCUGGCGGCAUGCCUAACACAUGCAAGUCGAACGGCAGCACGGGAGCUUGCUCCUGGUGGCGAGUGGCGGACGGGUGAGUAAUGCAUAGGAAUCUGCCCAGUAGCGGGGGACAACUUGGGGAAACUCAAGCUAAUACCGCAUACGUCCUACGGGGGAAAGCGGGGGACCGUUCGGGCCUCGCACUAUUGGAUGAGCCUAUGUCAGAUUAGCUUGUUGGUGGGGUAAAGGGCCUACCAAGGCGACGAUCUGUAGCUGGUCUGAGAGGACGAUCAGCCACACUGGGACUGAGACACGGCCCAGACUCCUACGGGAGGCAGCAGUGGGGAAUAUUGCACAAUGGGCGAAAGCCUGAUGCAGCAAUGCCGCGUGUGUGAAGAAGGCCUGCGGGUUGUAAAGCACUUUCAGUAGGGAGGAAACAGUAGCCGGUUAAUAUCCGGUUGCCUUGACGUUACC